This is a long non-coding RNA of Asparagus officinalis (garden asparagus), 257 nucleotides long. RefSeq lists it as uncharacterized. The record is from RefSeq and is a predicted model, not a curated record. NCBI's taxonomy places the organism in Eukaryota, Viridiplantae, Streptophyta, Magnoliopsida, Asparagales, Asparagaceae. The transcript has 3 exons.
AAGAAUAAAUCCACGAAGGGGUCAGAAAAUAGAAGAAAGAAGCUGCAUGACCAUCACUUGGGCUCACACUCCUACGCCAAUCUGGAAGAUGUUUAUUGUCAAGAUACGGGGAAAUCAUUAAUGCCGAUACACUUGAGGGCCAGAGCGGCAUAUGGUACUUUUCGUGAACAAUAUAGGGGUGAUGAGAGGAAUCGGGAUAAGAUCACGGCAAAUCUCGAGUUAGUGGAGGGAUUUGAGACUGCAUCCAAGGAGGCUGC